This 253-nucleotide ribosomal RNA is filed under the name uncultured bacterium. RNAcentral describes it as "partial 16S ribosomal RNA". It matches the Rfam family "Bacterial small subunit ribosomal RNA", at positions 524 to 776 of the family's 1533-position model. The record is from RNAcentral.
UACGAAGGUCCCAAGCGUUGUUCGGAAUCACUGGGCGUAAAGGGAGCGUAGGCGGCGUGGUAAGUCAGAUGUGAAAUCCUGGGGCUCAACCCCGGAACUGCAUCCGAUACUGCCAUGCUAGAGGAUUGGAGAGGUAGCUGGAAUUCUUGGUGUAGCAGUGAAAUGCGUAGAGAUCAAGAGGAACACUCGUGGCGAAAGCGAGCUACUGGACAAUUCCUGACGCUGAGGCUCGAAGGCUAGGGUAGCGAAAGGG